AAGCCCUGUCAGCGCCCCCUCCCCCCUCCUCUGCUCUCCCCCGCCUCCCUCGCUCGCGCUCCCCCCCCCCCCCGGCGCCUAGCGCAGCCUCAGCGCCGCCAUCGCCGCCUGCGCCACCCGCCGCCGCCUGCGCCGGGCGGAGGGGAAAAGUAGUCCCCGCUCCCGGUGAGGGUGGUUGGCCGGGAAGGAAGGGGGUCGGCGGGGACGGAGCGCGUCGCCGCGUCACACAGAGCAAACGUACCUGCUGUCGCAACAGGAAGGAAUGCUAUUUCCAAAGUACAGCCCUGGAAAUUGUUGUCAGACAAUUUAUUACGUACCUCCCAGUCCAAUUCUCCACACGCAGGACUGAGAUCUCGUGCCAACACACACAAUUCCUCACUCUCCCAGUAGCUGAAGCAUUGGGUUUUGCUGUAACAUGCUGACAUUUCAAACCAUGUGGAGAAGGGCCAUAGUAGCUACUGCUUAUAUCACCUUACUUUUCAUGGGGUGUGACUGCCUAGCUUGAAAUUUCUUUCAGCUUAAGUGGACUGCUUAUGAUGACUAACAGUGCUUCUUUGAGAGCUAUCAUUUUUCUCCCCCUCUUCUCCCAAGUCUACCCCACCAGCAGCUCCCUUCGCAGGUAAAGCUAAGAGGAUCCUUUCAGGCCUGAGCUUGUGCUGCUCCAAGCAGACGUAGGGUUUCCGUGUUCCUGACACAACUACUCUCGUUCCUUUCCUUCUUUCAGUGAGAAUUUCUGUCCUGUGAAAGGCAGGCUGCCCCUGAUUUACCUGACAGCUGAGUCCUUUCACUUCCACGAUAAAAUGAGAAAUAACUUUGUCCCCAAGAGUAAAUAUUAGGGAACAAUUAUGAUUAAUAUAUGUUAGAGACAUGUUGGAAGUCAGCAGGAUCUCGACAUUAGAGAUUCAAACCACAUGAGAAGUAGGCAUUCAAUAAGAAGGUAAAAGAGGUUAUUUCAGGAUACUCACUUGCAAGUUUAUUAGUCAUUUAACUGUUUUUGACUUGGUAAAAACACAAAGAAAGCAAACAGGCCACAUAAGCAGCCAUUGCACCCUACUACUAAAUUAAACUAACAAAUAAGAUAAUGGAAGGCAUUGGAGGUGUUGUAGAAAGAGUGGCAUAAACUUAGUUCAAGCCUUUUAAAAUACCACAGAAUUCGAAGUCAAAGCCAGGUGUGUUCUGCUAGAAACACACCUGUGUCAGGAUUGGACCAGCAGCACUUUGUGGUCCAGUGUUGGAAAACAUCCUCUGUAUAAGAUGAGGAAAAACUAAUCUUUUCAUAAAUAGGUAAGAAGUAAAAAGGGUAAAAUGCUUUAUUACAUGAAAGCAUAUGAGAAAUUACUCAGAUGAAAGUAUUCUUUGAGAAAAUAAGUUAGAGGUGAAACUUGGGUAUCUUUUUAGAACUAUUAGAAGUUGAAGACAGCACCAAAAAUGAAGAGGACGCAGAUACUGUACUUCCAGGUGUUAAGAGCAUAAACAUCAAAGUGAAAAAAGAAGAAACAAAGGCAAAAACGUGUUACUUUUUGAUCAUGACUCCUCCCAAGACAAGGAGGACAGCUGACUGGCAUCACGCUGAUAGGAUAAAGCCCUGCUACUACGCACAGCUGCGAUACAGCAAAAAUGAAGUAUGGCGGGGGGGGAACAAUUGCACUCUGGGGGAGCUAAAGUGAUACUGUCAUAGGUUCUCCCAGUCAUAGGUUUCAUUUUUUAAGAUAAAGUAACAUAUAAAGUAUAUGUCCCCUUCUGAUGAAAGGCUGUUAAUAUUUAUUUUUUUAAUACAGUGAGUGAGAAUCAGGACAGUUUUGUACUACAUGAAGGAGCUCUCAGCAUGGUUAGAUUUUACUUUUGUUUGAAACCAUGCUCUGUCAACUUGCAAUCCUAUAUAGCAGGCACAGCUGCUCACAGCAUGGUUAACUUACCUAACAGACCAUCAGCAUGAGAACAGAAGUCUUCUUGCUCUUCCCUUGCUGCUCCUGCCCGCACUGUUUCCCUGCUUUUCAUCUAUGGGUUCCACUGCAUGACCCCAGCUAGCUAGCCAGGGAAGUUCACAGCCUAGCUUCAUUUCCCUCAUGAACAGGGAAAUCAAAAAAACAUCAGGUGUUUUAAAGUCACAAGUCAACUUUCCCCAAAAGUUGAUUGGGGAAAUUCCAAUGCAGUUCCAAUACAUUCCAAAAGAAGUUCCAAUACAACAGUUAACACUCAAGAGGAUUGUUUUUACACAUCUUCCUCAGAGCACUGUUUCCACACAAGCACACGUGCCAUCUCUUAGAUGCCAGACAAGAAGAUCCGAUGCUGUUUUUUUUUAAAAGCGAAAGCAGCACCACUACACUAUCAACUUUCCAUCUCUAAGUCCACUCAAGACUGCAACUACGCUUUUCUACUUGCCGCUCACUGCCUGCGUUACCACCCAUCUCUUGGAAAAGUAUGGGUUUUUACCAACGUUAAGAAUACAGUUAGGAAUCAAAACCAGUAGGUAUUUAUUUAUUCAUUGUUUUCCAACAGGAACACAAUGUGUUCAAUGACUACACCACUUAUACUGUGAGUUCUCAUAGUCAAUGCAGGAGCUACAGAAACAUCCUUUCUUAAUCAAGAUUUAUUUGGCUUUUGUUUGGUGAUCACAGACACUACAAACAAUUUUACAAUUGUUUUUAUUCACAUAGGGUUUUUUAAUCUAAAAACUAUGGUUUUAUUUUUUUUUUAAGCCUAUUUCAAAUAUUUUUCAUCUGAUCAUUGUAGACAAGCUGUCCUUUAAAAUAGGAUGUGAAGUACCAGCUGCGGUUAAGUCUACCAAUCAGAACCUUUUACCUAUUCAGCAUUUAAAGUAAAAAUUUCCAAUCUUUCACACCACAAUUACAAAGUUGUUGAGAAAAAUCAAGCUGUACCUACCAAAAAUAACUUUGUCACAGAUAUACAUCACUCAGCAAGAAAUCCAACACUAGGGAGCAGUUUAUUAGGUAAGCAAUUCUACUGAUGGUACAACCAUAGAUAAAUAACUACAAUGUUAAGACAUCCUCAACAUAUCAUUACGAACUCUAAAGUCCAACCUGUAUUAUGCGUCAUUCAAUAGGA
This is a long non-coding RNA of Cygnus olor (mute swan), 3066 nucleotides long. RefSeq lists it as uncharacterized. The transcript has 2 exons. NCBI's taxonomy places the organism in Eukaryota, Metazoa, Chordata, Aves, Anseriformes, Anatidae. The record is from RefSeq and is a predicted model, not a curated record.